This 72-nucleotide transfer RNA is filed under the name Marmota marmota marmota (Alpine marmot). It matches the Rfam family "tRNA". Rfam says of the family: Transfer RNA (tRNA) molecules are approximately 80 nucleotides in length. Their secondary structure includes four short double-helical elements and three loops (D, anti-codon, and T loops). RNAcentral also lists the same sequence under 1 other name. Lineage: Eukaryota; Metazoa; Chordata; Mammalia; Rodentia; Sciuridae. The record is from Rfam by way of RNAcentral.
UGUAAUACAGCUCAGUGGUAGAGCAUUUACUUAACAUGCACAAGGCUCCAGGUUCAAUUCCUAGUAUAAAAA